GUGUCAGCAGCCGCGGUAAGACGUAGGGAGCGAGCGUUGUCCGGAUUCAUUGGGCGUAAAGCGCGCGCAGGCGGCCGUGCAAGUCGGGUGUGAAAAUCCGGGGCUCAACCCCGGACCUGCAUCCGAUACUGCACGGCUAGAGGUAGGUAGGGGAGAUCGGAAUUCCUGGUGUAGCGGUGAAAUGCGCAGAUAUCAGGAGGAACACCGGUGGCGAAGGCGGAUCUCUGGGCCUUACCUGACGCUCAGGCGCGAAAGCUAGGGGAGCGAACAGGAUUAGAUACCCUGGUAGUCCUAGCCGUAAACGUUGGGUGCUAGGUGUGGGAGGAUAUUGACCCCUUCCGUGCCGAAGCUAACGCAUUAAGCACCCCGCCUGGGGAGUACGGCCGCAAGGCUAAA
This 396-nucleotide ribosomal RNA is filed under the name uncultured bacterium. RNAcentral's name for it is "bacterial SSU rRNA". It matches the Rfam family "Bacterial small subunit ribosomal RNA", at positions 505 to 898 of the family's 1533-position model. The record is from RNAcentral.